RNAcentral lists this ribosomal RNA (207 nucleotides) under uncultured bacterium. Its description in RNAcentral is "partial 16S ribosomal RNA". It matches the Rfam family "Bacterial small subunit ribosomal RNA", at positions 568 to 774 of the family's 1533-position model. The record is from RNAcentral.
UGCGUAGGUGGUAUGGCAAGUCAGAAGUGAAAGGCUGGGGCUCAACCCCGGGACUGCUUUUGAAACUGUCAAACUAGAGUACAGGAGAGGAAAGCGGAAUUCCUAGUGUAGCGGUGAAAUGCGUAGAUAUUAGGAGGAACACCAGUGGCGAAGGCGGCUUUCUGGACUGAAACUGACACUGAGGCACGAAAGCGUGGGGAGCAAACA